AACACUGUUAACCUGCGGUACCUGCGGAAGGAUCAUUACCGAGUUUACAACUCCCAAACCCAUGUGAACAUACCUAUCGUUGCUUCGGCGGAUCGCCCCGGGCGCCUUGCGUGCCCCGGAUCCAGGCGGCCGCCGGGGGACCUUAACUCUUGUUUUUACUGAGAAUCUUCUGAGUCGUUUUUACAAAUAAAUAAAAACUUUCAACAACGGAUCU
Molecule: unclassified non-coding RNA, 214 nt
Filed under: soil metagenome
Description: partial contains 5.8S ribosomal RNA, internal transcribed spacer 2, and large subunit ribosomal RNA
Source: RNAcentral